RNAcentral lists this ribosomal RNA (245 nucleotides) under uncultured bacterium. RNAcentral describes it as "partial 16S ribosomal RNA". It matches the Rfam family "Bacterial small subunit ribosomal RNA", at positions 563 to 807 of the family's 1533-position model. The record is from RNAcentral.
AAGGGUGCGUAGGCGGCCUGAUAAGUCAGAUGUGAAAGGCGGAGGCUCAACCUCCGUUAGCAUCUGAAACUGUCAGGCUUGAGUGAAGGAGAGGAAAGUGGAAUUCCUAGUGUAGCGGUGAAAUGCGUAGAUAUUAGGAGGAAUACCGGUGGCGAAGGCGACUUUCUGGACUUAAACUGACGCUGANGCACGAAAGUGUGGGGGAGCAANCAGGAUUAGAUACCCUGGUAGUCCACACCGUAAAC